CCAAAGGCUCUUUUCAGAGCCACCCACAACUUCGUAAAAAGGCUGU
This is a non-coding RNA of Mesocricetus auratus (golden hamster), 46 nucleotides long. The record is from Rfam. Lineage: Eukaryota; Metazoa; Chordata; Mammalia; Rodentia; Cricetidae.